UAGAGAGAGAAGGAAGGAAGAACAAGUUCUUCAUAACCUAAAAUCUGCAAUUCUAACAAAUUGAAGGGUGAAAUCCAUGCCAAUCUUAUGCAUGAGCCUUAAUAAGUAAUCAUCUAUGCUUGUUUAACAUAAGGUGUGAAAGAAGAAGGCCCGAGUAACAAGAAAGCACAAGGUGUUCAAGAUUGAGGUACGUUACUUGUACGAUUAAAGUUUACUUGUAGUAAUGUUUAUUGAUAUAUAUUGUGGUAUUCGUAAUACGUUAAAGAAUGAUCAUGUAAUAGACCCAUUACGAAUGGUCAACGAACUAGAAUGAAAUGUUUAAUAUGGUCAUACAGUUGAUCUGGUACGAACAGGUCAACAAACUAGAAUGAAAUGUUUAAUAUGGGCAUACAGUUGAUCCGGUAUGAACAGGUCAAUGGACUAGAAUGAAAUGUUUAAUUUGGUCA
Helianthus annuus (common sunflower) is the source of this 446-nucleotide long non-coding RNA. RefSeq lists it as uncharacterized. NCBI's taxonomy places the organism in Eukaryota, Viridiplantae, Streptophyta, Magnoliopsida, Asterales, Asteraceae. The record is from RefSeq and is a predicted model, not a curated record. The transcript is spliced from 2 exons.